Molecule: long non-coding RNA, 1563 nt
Organism: Biomphalaria glabrata
Lineage: Eukaryota; Metazoa; Mollusca; Gastropoda; Planorbidae
Exons: 3
Source: RefSeq, a predicted model, not a curated record
GGAUAGAUACUUCGAUUUUCUGGUCGCGCGAGAUUUUUUUUGGUUACCGGAACCGGUAGUAUUCGUGCGGCAGUAUUUAAGCCGAAAGCAGUGGUAAUUUCGUUCCAGUCUGGUUUUGUCUUCAAAAUCAGACACCAAAGGAUAAUCGGAGCCCUUUGUUUGUUCAAGGAUCGGAUAUCAGUUAAUUCUUUGGAUUUAUAUCAGUGCUUUUCUAUCGUCUUCAUGGAGUUCCAGCGUGUUGAGCAUAGGGGUAAGUUGACCAUCCAUAGUUUUUUUAUUAUUCUAAUAAGCAUAGUUAUUUAAGUCAUCCCAAGUACCUUAAUAUCUAAUCUAACUAUUUUUGUUCAUAUUAUCGCAAUAAGUGUUCCACUUUUUUAGUAAAAACGGACCCACUGCAUCAGGUAUCUUGGCUAGAAAACGAAACUAGCCGCCAUUACUAACCGGAAAUGAUAGAUUCAAUGGUUAUCAAUGGCUGCAUAGCUUUUUUGUUAGAUCGAUUUUUUUAAAAUCCAUCAUCAAGAACAGUUUUAUUUAGUCAUCCGUGAUUUUGAAUAUAAUGUGGGCGUGGCAGGCCUUGAUGUCGAUGUUGUUGACAAUAAGUUUUGAAGGCAUAUGUCCGAGGUGAAGAACUUUUGUAGGAAGAUUACCCGCAGCUGGCACCUAUUUGCACCUUACUUGGAUAAAAAAAUUUCUAUCGAUGCUGCUGGCAAAAAGACACCUAUCCAAGACAGCACUGAACGACCUAGUAUGGUGAAGAAGUUGCGACCUGAAGGUGAUGUUGAGGCUACUGAAAGGCAGGUAACACAGAACAACACUGUGCUUGUUGUUGCAGAAAAGCGGUUAGUCUUUUAAGGGCUUUUUGGCAAGAUGUUGACUGGACCGUGGAUGACACUGAUCUACAAAAUGAAAGAUGAAACAUUUUAAAGAUACCAUUUAUGCAGCUAUUAUAUUUAUUCUCUUGUUUUCUAGAUCUCUCAUGUGAAGGUCUGCAUUGACAAACUAAAGGCCAUUGUGGAUUCUCCAGAGAAUCUCCUUUCAAUACUAAUUGAUUGCUUUGGCCAGACUCUGGAUACUGAAGAUCUCGUUCUGAAAACCCUGAGAAAUGUGACUGUUGAUGAAGUAUUUAUCGAGAUCACUAAAGAACUUGCUGAAGGUUUUUGUAAGGUGCUACAGAGACAGUACUUCAAUUGAUAAUUUCCAACUACAAACAAAUCCAUUAUGUGCUUACCCAUCAAAUAGUUAGAUAUAUUUUAUUUUAAGGGAACAUGUUGCAUAUCUGGGAUAUUUAUUUAAUGUGAAAAAUAUAAUUUCACAAUCCAGCUGAUAAUUGUGCUAUGAACCAUUUAUAUUAAGUCUUGAUAAUUUUACCUUUUCAGCAAGCCUACAUUGGUAUGCAUUAAAAUUAUUUAUUCUAUUUCAGCAAAACAGAUAGGGUACACCCAAACAAUGUUCAUCUUCAAACAAUCAUGCAUGAUCCUCGCAAGCUUUGGAUACUGACGUACAUUUGCAAACGCACUCAGACUGAUGACAUCAAGAAAUCUAUAUUUGUUAUUUACAUUAUAU